GCGCCUAUAGCUCAGUGGAUAGAGCGUCAGUUUCCGAAACUGAAAGUCGGAGGUUCAAUCCCUCUUAGGCGCU
Peptoniphilus duerdenii ATCC BAA-1640 is the source of this 73-nucleotide transfer RNA. It matches the Rfam family "tRNA". Rfam says of the family: Transfer RNA (tRNA) molecules are approximately 80 nucleotides in length. NCBI's taxonomy places the organism in Bacteria, Bacillati, Bacillota, Tissierellia, Tissierellales, Peptoniphilaceae. The record is from Rfam.